CGGCGCGCCUAACACAUGCAAGUCGAACGAUAGACUCUUCGGAGUAGUAAAGUGGCGAACGGGUGAGUAAUACAUGGGUAAUCUGCCUUUGAGCGGGGGAUAACCAGCCGAAAGGCUGGCUAAUACCCCAUACGCUUCCGGUCCCUCGGGUAAGGAAGGAAAGCCGCAUCGUGGAUGUGGCACUCGAAGAUGGGCUCAUGGCCUAUCAGCUUGUUGGUGGGGUAACGGCCCACCAAGGCUACGACGGGUAGCUGGUCUGAGAGGACGAUCAGCCACACUGGCACUGAGAUACGGGCCAGACUCCUACGGGAGGCAGCAGUGAGGAAUAUUGCGCAAUGGGCGAAAGCCUGACGCAGCGACGCCGCGUGGGGGAAGAAGGUUUUCGGAUUGUAAACCCCUUUUAGGAGGAAAGAUGGGGUGGGUUUCCACCCGGACGGUACCUCCAGAAAAAGCCACGGCUAACUUCGUGCCAGCAGCCGCGGUAAUACGAAGGUGGCGAGCGUUGUUCGGAUUUACUGGGCGUAAAGAGCACGUAGGCGGUUUAGUAAGCCCCUUGGGAAAGCUAUGGGCUUAACCCAUAAAGGUCGAGGGGGACUGCUAAGCUAGAGGGCGGGAGAGGAGCGCGGAAUUUCCGGUGUAGCGGUGAAAUGCGUAGAUAUC
This 660-nucleotide ribosomal RNA is filed under the name uncultured bacterium. RNAcentral's name for it is "bacterial SSU rRNA". It matches the Rfam family "Bacterial small subunit ribosomal RNA", at positions 40 to 698 of the family's 1533-position model. The record is from RNAcentral.